GGUAGCCCCUCUGGUUGCCCUCAACCAAUAUUCUUUGUACACUUGUUAAUGUUGAUUUGGAAGUGGGCUGUUUGCUCAGUGGGGGAAGGAUGCAGAAGAAAGACACAGUGCCAGCGCUCAGCCUCUUCUCUACUGUUUCAAGCAAUUCAGCUGGAACCACAAACUUGUACGCCCCGCUUUGCCAGAAGGAAAGCUCGGCAGCUGAUCUGACCCACUCUCCUUAGGAGCUGACAAUGAAAGACAUGAGCGAGUGGAAAGAGAGAAGCAGCUCUCAGCGGCAGAGAAGAAAUUGAAAUCGGCUGCAGAAAAACCAGACAACUACAAAUCAAGGCUCGGAUUUUGGAGAGGGAGAUAGUGGAGCAGAGCAGGGGAGCCGCUCACUUGAAAUACAGAUUGGAGAUAAUGCCCAAAAAGAGGCUGCCUGAGGGAUACAGGCGGCACAAACCAAUUUCGGGAAGACCUGG
This 464-nucleotide long non-coding RNA is filed under the name Equus caballus (horse). RNAcentral describes it as "lncRNA (ENSECAG00000054840.1)". Lineage: Eukaryota; Metazoa; Chordata; Mammalia; Perissodactyla; Equidae. The record is from RNAcentral.